Molecule: ribosomal RNA, 119 nt
Filed under: Pteropus alecto (black flying fox)
Lineage: Eukaryota; Metazoa; Chordata; Mammalia; Chiroptera; Pteropodidae
Source: RNAcentral
GUCUAUGGCCAUGCCAUCCUGAAGAAGCCCGAUCCCGUCUGAUCUCGGAAGCUAAGCAGGGUCAGGCCUGGGUAGUACUUGGAUGAGACACCGCCUAAGAAGACCAGGUGCUGCAGGCG